UACGUGAAACAUGCAACCCGGACGCCUU
RNAcentral lists this small RNA (28 nucleotides) under Bombyx mori (domestic silkworm). RNAcentral describes it as "ovarian small RNA-21178". The record is from RNAcentral. Lineage: Eukaryota; Metazoa; Arthropoda; Insecta; Lepidoptera; Bombycidae.